CCCCCAGUUCCAGAAGACACCCCAAGGAAGAUGAAUUGGGCUGUUGACUCUGAGCAGAAGGAGACUGAGAGCCUCUGCCUCUUCCAGAAGCAAGGCACUGCCUGGUGCCCGCGUCUUGGAACGUGCUGGCUUCAUUGCUCUGACAGCAUGAAGGAUGUUUGGUUUUGUUCCCAGUGCUGUUAUCAUUUAUCAUCCUUUUGUAAAAGCUGGCACCCUCCACCUGUCCCCUCUUCCUUCUCACUGUCUCCCAAUCCCCACCUCCAAUCCAACCUCCCCAUCCUGCCUGUAUCCCCUGCCUCUGAGGGGAAGCCUCUCGUAUUUCACCCUAGGGAGAAGGCUCCCACAUUGGUUUCCAGAAGCCCAAGAGACACCCAAGUUGAAUUCAACACAGUUGCUGAGCAAUUCCUGUGGGCAAACUGCUGUGCUUUGGAUGGCAAAAGACCCUGACUUCAGGCACCUUGCAUUCCAGCAAGGAAAUAACCAUGAAGCUCCUCACAGCAAAACACUGGCAUGCACCGGCAGAGAUGGAGGAGAACCACACGUCCAGAGAGUCUGGGAAAGGCAGAGCCAAGAGCCUUUUAAAGAAUAGAAGCAGGAGGGUGGACGAUGGUGGAAGACAGAGGUGCGGACAAAGACUGAGCGUGGAGAUCUUCAGGAAAAGAUGGCUGAGAACACAAAGAAAGAGAUAAAGUCACAGCUGGAAGAGGAGCUGUCAGAGAUGUAUCUGGGCAUCGCGGAUUUUCUCCGGGAAUCCUACAAGGAUGGUGGCUGGUCUGAAACACGGCAUGGCAGUUAAGAGAAGGGGCUUGAAAUGAGCCUGUACACAUCUGGAUUCAAAUCCGUGCUCUAUGACUGUAAGCAAGUUGGUUAAGCUUUCUGAAGCUGAAAGCUCCCAUAAAAUGAAGACAGCGGCUUGUACGUCAAACACUCGUGGGGAAUGGAGGGGACAACAUGUGUAAAGUGUCCGGGAUACAGUAACAUCCCAUUCAUGUAACCUGUUAGCAUCGAGACAGGGUCUGAUCAGUUCACUGCGCCGCUGGGGAGGGAGUUGGCUGGCCUCGGGCCACACCCCCAGGAAAGGCAGAGCGGGGACUCCUGAGCCGAGGCCAGUGUGAAUCCGAAGUUCCUGCUUGGCCCGGGAGCCAAUCUGUUGAGGACAGAAAGCUUGAACCACUGUGUCUCAGUGGGAGAGACAGAUCUGAUGAUGUUCCUCCCUUGCUUCAAACUCUACCAGGGCUUCCCCUUUAUGCUGAGAUAGCGAUGUCCUGAACAAGGCUGUCCAAGUCCCGGGCAGGCUGGCCCCUCUUCUUU
Long non-coding RNA from Lontra canadensis (Northern American river otter), 1311 nucleotides. RefSeq lists it as uncharacterized. The transcript has 3 exons. NCBI's taxonomy places the organism in Eukaryota, Metazoa, Chordata, Mammalia, Carnivora, Mustelidae. The record is from RefSeq and is a predicted model, not a curated record.